CGUGUAGGCGGACGUUCAAGUUAGGGGUGAAAGGCCUGGGCUCAACCUGGGAACUGCCUUUAAAACUGGACGUCUAGAGUACGGGAGAGGGUAGCGGAAUACCCAGUGUAGAGGUGAAAUUCGUAGAUAUUGGGUAGAACACCGGUGGCGAAGGCGGCUGCCUGGCCCGUAACUGACGCUGAUGCGCGAAAGCGUGGGGAGCAAACA
RNAcentral lists this ribosomal RNA (207 nucleotides) under uncultured bacterium. RNAcentral describes it as "partial 16S ribosomal RNA". It matches the Rfam family "Bacterial small subunit ribosomal RNA", at positions 568 to 774 of the family's 1533-position model. The record is from RNAcentral.